CCCUGGCUCAGGACGAACGCUGGCGGCAUGCCUAAUACAUGCAAGUCGAGCGGAGUUCUGUUGAAAGCUUGCUUUCAACAGGAUUUAGCGGCGGACGGGUGAGUAACACGUAGGCAACCUGCCCCAUAGCCUGGGAUAACUACCGGAAACGGUAGCUAAUACCGGAUAAUUCCUUUCCCCACCUGGGAAGAGGAUGAAAGACGGAGCAAUCUGUCGCUGAGGGAUGGGCCUGCGGCGCAUUAGCUAGUUGGUGGGGUAACGGCUCACCAAGGCGACGAUGCGUAGCCGACCUGAGAGGGUGAACGGCCACACUGGGACUGAGACACGGCCCAGACUCCUACGGGAGGCAGCAGUAGGGAAUCUUCCGCAAUGGGCGCAAGCCUGACGGAGCAAUGCCGCGUGAGUGAUGAAGGUUUUCGGAUCGUAAAGCUCUGUUGCCAGGGAAGAACGUCUUAUAGAGUAACUGCUAUAAGAGUGACGGUACCUGAGAAGAAAG
Molecule: ribosomal RNA, 496 nt
Filed under: Paenibacillaceae bacterium CL6.35
Lineage: Bacteria; Bacillati; Bacillota; Bacilli; Caryophanales; Paenibacillaceae
Description: bacterial SSU rRNA
Rfam family: Bacterial small subunit ribosomal RNA
Source: RNAcentral